This is a ribosomal RNA of Arabidopsis thaliana (thale cress), 117 nucleotides long. The record is from Rfam. NCBI's taxonomy places the organism in Eukaryota, Viridiplantae, Streptophyta, Magnoliopsida, Brassicales, Brassicaceae.
AGAUGCGAUCAUACCAGCACUAAUGCACCGGAUCCCAUCAGAACACUGCAGUUAAGCGUGCUUGGACGAGAGUAGUAUUAGAGGGUGACCUCAUGAGAAGUUUUCGUGUUGCAUCCC